AACAUCGCGCACCUGCGGGAACCUGCGGAGGGAUCAUUAAUGAUUGGUGGCUGUUGCUGACUAGUGUUUCUAGUAUGUGCACGCCACACCUUCAAUCCCACUUACACCUGUGCACCUUCUGUAAUAGAUCUAUGUGGAUACGGAGAUAUGAAAGUUUGCGCUCUCGUACUCUGUUGAAGCAGUCUGCUACGUUUUUUUACACACACACAAUAGUCAUUGAAUGUAUUUUUUAUUCUUAUG
This 240-nucleotide unclassified non-coding RNA is filed under the name soil metagenome. RNAcentral's name for it is "partial contains 5.8S ribosomal RNA, internal transcribed spacer 2, and large subunit ribosomal RNA". The record is from RNAcentral.